This 133-nucleotide ribosomal RNA is filed under the name Castor canadensis (American beaver). The record is from RNAcentral. Lineage: Eukaryota; Metazoa; Chordata; Mammalia; Rodentia; Castoridae.
GUCUAAGGCCAUAGCAACCUCAACAUUCCCAAUCUCAUCUGAUCUCAAAAGCUAAGCAGGGUCAAGCCUGGUUAGUACUUGGAUGGGAGACAAAUAUUCAGAAGAGACUACUCAGAGACAAACGGUUUGGAGA